UUUCGAAUCAUUCACAAUGGGCGAAAGCCUGAUGGUGCAACGCCGCGUGGGGGAUGACGGUCCUCGGAUUGUAAACCCCUGUCACCAAGGACUAAACGGUGGGCUCAUACCCCGCCCUGAAUUAACUUGGAGAGGAAGCCGUGGCUAACUCCGUGCCAGCAGCCGCGGUAAUACGGAGACGGCAAGCGUUACUCGGAUUCACUGGGCGUAAAGGGUGCGUAGGCGGCAAGGUGUGUCGGGUGUGAAAUCCCAUCGCUCAACGAUGGACGUGCGCCCGAAACUACCUAGCUAGAGACUCGGAGAGGUGAGUGGAAUUCCUGGUGUAGCGGUGAAAUGCGUAGAUAUCAGGAGGAACACCCAUGGCGAAGGCAGCUCACUGGACGAGAUCUGACGCUGAGGCACGAAAGUGUGGGGAGCGAAAGGGAUUAGAUACCCGUGUAGUCC
This 444-nucleotide ribosomal RNA is filed under the name uncultured prokaryote. RNAcentral describes it as "bacterial SSU rRNA". It matches the Rfam family "Bacterial small subunit ribosomal RNA", at positions 355 to 796 of the family's 1533-position model. The record is from RNAcentral.